RNAcentral lists this ribosomal RNA (253 nucleotides) under uncultured bacterium. Its description in RNAcentral is "partial 16S ribosomal RNA". It matches the Rfam family "Bacterial small subunit ribosomal RNA", at positions 524 to 776 of the family's 1533-position model. The record is from RNAcentral.
UACGGAGGGUCCGAGCGUUAUCCGGAAUUAUUGGGUUUAAAGGGUCCGUAGGCGGGCCGAUAAGUCAGGGGUGAAAGUCUGCCGCUCAACGGUAGAACUGCCUUUGAUACUGUCGGUCUUGAGUUAUAGUGAAGUUGCCGGAAUAUGUAGUGUAGCGGUGAAAUGCAUAGAUAUUACAUAGAACACCGAUUGCGAAGGCAGGUGACUAACUAUAUACUGACGCUGAUGGACGAAAGCGUGGGGAGCGAACAGG